Molecule: long non-coding RNA, 260 nt
Filed under: Panax ginseng (ginseng)
Lineage: Eukaryota; Viridiplantae; Streptophyta; Magnoliopsida; Apiales; Araliaceae
Description: long non-coding RNA (PGIN_LNC013904)
Source: RNAcentral
AUUUAUAAAUAUUACCCACAACUAUAACAUUAUAUCAAAUUCACACCAUAAUAUUCAAAAAAAUAUUUCAAAAAAUUAAAUCUUUAUUCAUAAAAUCUGAGGUCUCACAAAAUACAUCAAACUAAUUGCAAAUGGUAUAAUUUAGAUAGGACCAAAUGUGCAACCUUAACUUUAACUUCAAGACUUGGUUUAAAAAGUAGCUGUUUGGCCUAUAACUAUGAAUGUCAACACAAAAUUAUAACAAUAUUUACUGAGAAGAG